CAAGUUUGAAUCCUUUAGCAAUUAGAAUAGGGCCAGAAACUAGGUUUCUUCUUAUUUCAGGAAUAUGCAGCACGUCAAGCAAAGUUAGGCUUUUUCCAGAAGUGAGUUUGAGUACAACUUUGCCUCUGCUUUAAUUGCAGAUGUUGCAGCUGUGGAUGCAAAUUUCUUCCUCCUUGAUCUUGGACAAUUUUGCACCUACAAAACAAUUAACACCUUAGGUUAAGGCCAAGAGCCUCACGCGCCCACGAUGAAUGGGGGGGCUUUGGCCGAAAAACCUCCGAUGCCAAAGUUAGAAUUUAGAGAGAAAUAGUGUUUAGAGAAUUUUGGGAUUUUUGCCAAAGUGUUGGAAUUGGCUUUUUUGGUGAGAAUGAGAGUAUAUUUAUAGGGAUAGGAGGUGGCUAGGGUUUUUUGGGUUUAAUUUAGGUUUAAGUAGGAGUUACAAAAUUGAUUAUUUGUAUAAAUGGGAUAAUAAAAUGGAGAAAAGUGAAAAAGGUUAGGAAAAUGGAGGUGGAUUAGGUUUUGAAUGGGGAUAACUGGCCAUGUGGUGUUUUUGGGUUGAAUUGGAUGUGUUUUGUGGUUAUUUGGAUAUAAUGGAUGGUUUAAUUGACAAUUAAUGGGUUAAUUAGGCAAUAAACCCAUUAAUUAGCCAAUUAACAUAAUUUAAAAGGAAUGUGUUUGGGAAUUACCUUGUAGAAAGGAUUUGAUGAGAUGGACUUUGAAUUGUUACCUAUUUUGGGCACUUCUGUCUUGGUUGAAAGAGGGUUGCCCGCUGCUUGCGCGUAGGAACCCCGUUGUACUGCAAGGGUAUUUUUAUCCUUUUUGUCCAAAAAUCCACGUGUCGCCUUGAGAAUAUUUUUGGCUCCACAAAUGCCCCCACACCUGUUGGGCUGCUUGCAGAAAAGGGCAGCAGGUGUAGAGAUCUUCUUGCUUUAGGAAACUUAGGACUGCUUCCUAUUUUGAUGUA
RNAcentral lists this long non-coding RNA (964 nucleotides) under Malus domestica (apple). RNAcentral describes it as "long non-coding RNA (MDOM_LNC016720)". The record is from RNAcentral. Lineage: Eukaryota; Viridiplantae; Streptophyta; Magnoliopsida; Rosales; Rosaceae.